RNAcentral lists this non-coding RNA (84 nucleotides) under uncultured Eubacterium sp. RNAcentral describes it as "Glycine riboswitch". It matches the Rfam family "Glycine riboswitch aptamer", at positions 9 to 86 of the family's 94-position model. From Rfam's summary of the family: This family represents the bacterial glycine riboswitch. Glycine riboswitches usually consist of two metabolite-binding aptamers domains with similar structures in tandem. The aptamers cooperatively bind glycine to regulate the expression of downstream genes. The record is from RNAcentral. Lineage: Bacteria; Bacillati; Bacillota; Clostridia; Eubacteriales; Eubacteriaceae.
GAACUCUGGAGAAUCCCGUUCAUUCGGGUGCCGAAGGUGCAAGGCGCGAAAGCGCUGAAUCUCUCAGGCGAAAGGACAGAGCAG